GAUUAACGCUAGCGGCAGGCCUAAUACAUGCAAGUCGAACGGGAUUCAAAGUAGCAAUAUUUUGAUGAGAGUGGCGCACGGGUGAGUAACACGUAUGCAAUUUACCUUUAACUGGGGGAUAGCCCUCCGAAAGGAGGAUUAAUACCGCAUAAUAUAUUGAAAUGGCAUCAUUUUAAUAUUAAACCUACGGGGGUUAAAGAUGAGCAUGCAUCCGAUUAGCUAGUUGGUGUGGUAACGGCUCACCAAGGCAACGAUCGGUAGGGGGUCUGAGAGGAUGAUCCCCCACACUGGUACUGAGACACGGACCAGACUCCUACGGGAGGCAGCAGUAAGGAAUAUUGGACAAUGGAGGCAACUCUGAUCCAGCCAUGCCGCGUGAAGGAUUAAGGCCCUAUGGGUUGUAAACUUCUUUUAGACGGGACAAAACCCCUUUACGUGUAAAGGGUUGAUGGUACUGUCAGAAUAAGCAUCGGCUAACUUCGUGCCAGCAGCCGCGGUAAU
RNAcentral lists this ribosomal RNA (501 nucleotides) under uncultured bacterium. RNAcentral describes it as "bacterial SSU rRNA". It matches the Rfam family "Bacterial small subunit ribosomal RNA", at positions 28 to 524 of the family's 1533-position model. The record is from RNAcentral.